GUGCCAGCCGCCGCGGUAAUACGUAGGUCCCGAGCGUUGUCCGGAUUUAUUGGGCGUAAAGCGAGCGCAGGCGGUUAGAUAAGUCUGAAGUUAAAGGCUGUGGCUUAACCAUAGUACGCUUUGGAAACUGUUUAACUUGAGUGCAAGAGGGGAGAGUGGAAUUCCAUGUGUAGCGGUGAAAUGCGUAGAUAUAUGGAGGACACCGGUGGCGAAAGCGGCUCUCUGGCUUGUAACUGACGCUGAGGCUCGAAAGCGUGGGGAGCAAACAGGAUUAGAUA
Molecule: ribosomal RNA, 278 nt
Filed under: uncultured Streptococcaceae bacterium
Lineage: Bacteria; Bacillati; Bacillota; Bacilli; Lactobacillales; Streptococcaceae
Description: partial 16S ribosomal RNA
Rfam family: Bacterial small subunit ribosomal RNA
Source: RNAcentral